GACGAACGCUGGCGGCGUGCCUAAUACAUGCAAGUCGAGCGAAUUUACGAGAGCUUGCUCUCGUGAAUUAGCGGCGGACGGGUGAGUAACACGUGGGCAACCUGCCUAUAAGACUGGGAUAACUUCGGGAAACCGAAGCUAAUACCGGAUAAUUCACAUCUACUCAUGUAGAUGUGCUGAAAGACGGUUUACGCUGUCACUUAUAGAUGGGCCCGCGGCGCAUUAGCUAGUUGGUGAGGUAACGGCUCACCAAGGCCACGAUGCGUAGCCGACCUGAGAGGGUGAUCGGCCACACUGGGACUGAGACACGGCCCAGACUCCUACGGGAGCAGCAGUAGGGAAUCUUCCGCAAUGGACGAAAGUCUGACGGAGCAACGCGCGUGAGUGAUUAGGUU
This 395-nucleotide ribosomal RNA is filed under the name uncultured bacterium. RNAcentral describes it as "bacterial SSU rRNA". It matches the Rfam family "Bacterial small subunit ribosomal RNA", at positions 28 to 415 of the family's 1533-position model. The record is from RNAcentral.